This 307-nucleotide ribosomal RNA is filed under the name Methanomassiliicoccales archaeon. RNAcentral's name for it is "partial 23S ribosomal RNA". It matches the Rfam family "Archaeal large subunit ribosomal RNA", at positions 2677 to 2987 of the family's 2987-position model. Lineage: Archaea; Methanobacteriati; Thermoplasmatota; Thermoplasmata; Methanomassiliicoccales. The record is from RNAcentral.
GGUUUAGACCGUCGUGAGACAGGUUUGUUGCUUUUUGGUGGAAGUGCAUUGGUGCCUGACGAGAAGAACCCUUUAGUACGAGAGGAACGGGGGUUCGCGGCCUCUAGUUAACCAGUUGUCCGGCAGGGCAUGCUGGGCAGCCACGCCGUAAUGGAUAAGAGCUGAAAGCAUCUAAGCUCGAAACCACCUUGAAAAAGAGGCACCUUAAAACACUCGUAAAUGACGAGAUUGAUAGAACCGGGAUGUAAGUAUCGAGGUUCGCCGAGAUAUUCAGUCCGCGGUUACUAACGUUUAUGGCCGCACAGUA